AAGUUUCCAAUAUAAUUUCAUUUUUUUAAACAGACAAGUGAAAAAAAAAAAAGAAAGAAAAAGAAAUGUUAAAUCUAAACACCUUCAACCUCCCACAUUUCUCUUAACCAAACAUUUACAGAGAACCUAAGAUGUGUCAAGCACUCCGUUGGGAACUGGGACAGAUGACACUUAUUCUAAACUAAACCCGUAUUACUGAGCUCCUCAACUUCACAUAUUAUUCAAACCAACAGUUUUCUUAAAAAAUUCUUGUCCAACACUAAGGAAGAUAUACGGUUUUCCUAAUAAAUCCACUUUUCACCGUUUUACACAGGUCACAGGAGUUGGAGCUACUAUCUGCAACUAACAAAAGAUUCAUUUCGGAAACAUCACUGAUACAGGAACUGAGCAGAUAAAAACUGUUCCAUGUAGGAGUUUACAGCACCCAAACUCAAGGAAAAAACUGAUCUGGGCUCACAGAGAAGUCUGUAGCAGAUACAAACGUCUCAACAGCCACAGAUUUUACUUUCUUCUAUAAACACAAGCAUUACAAAUUUUAAUCCAGAUGCAGUACUGUAAAACCGGUCUUGAUUUCGAAGUGAAAUACAUUCUUAAAAAUAAUUCAUCAAAGGAACACUCAAAAGUAAAUGACAGUUACACUUUAACAUAUUAUCUGUUCCAUUUCUACACUUGUGAACACACUCUACUCUUUUCAAGCAUUUCUCAGUAUGCACCGGAUGAAAAAAACAUCUGCUAACCUCAAAAUUCCACCAGUUGAAUCUAGACAUUUCAGAUAUCUAAGGCUUUUUAUUCUCGAGUGUAUUUUAAAAAAUCAGACAGCAUUCAAUUACAGAUUCUCUAAACCGAAAAACCACCACCUGUACUUUUAUUGUUAUCAUUUCUUCCAUCAAUUAAGCAAACUGUACUUUUCAGACACCGUCAUCCUCCAUUCAGCUAACCUGUUUACAUUUAAGAGAAACCUGGCCAUCAAUUUUCCACACAUCACAAAGCAAUACAGCAUCGGACAAUUUACAGACAAAUUGGAUCAAUAAAGGAAAAUAAAACACAAGUCCCUAGAAAUACAAGGAACAACUGCUGUCUCUGAACUGUGGAAAGAUCACCAAAAUUCUCUUUGAAAACCUUUCAGUCAAGAUUAUUUUUCUCGCUAAUGAAAUAGAUUUUCUGCUAAAAAUUCGCAAUACCGUUCAACAAUAAAUAAGAUUUUCUUUCAUCACUGUAACCGAUAGAACCACAACAGUUCAGUUUCUAGAAACCGAUUACUUGACCUGCUUUUUCAGUUCUACGUUUUAAAACAUUCUAAUUCGUGCAGUUAUUCCUGUCCCUCCCUGCAAAAGGAGAUGUUCUACCUAGGAGAAUCACCCUCACUGACUCCAACUCACGGGCCCAAGUGUCCAGGCGGCAGCAAAGCCUCUGAGAUGUAGCGAUCCACGCCAGCUGACCCCCAUCGUCUCCCGCGGAAAGGCAUGGGCACCAAGCCACCAAACACACCUUCCUCUGCAAAACUCGGAGGCCCGACACGACGACCUCGGGCAAAUCCCCUACUUCCUGAGUUCUACCCCCCAGAGGUUUGUUUUCAGUAGCCAAUCUUACCUUCAUUGUGAUUCCGGGGCCGCGAUCCCCUCGAAAACACCAGAUUCACCUGCACCUGGAGGGGAAACAAAAGACCCCCGAUCAGCACUUCAGGCCCCCCCUUUGCGCCGGCAAAGACGCAGGGGACAGAGUAAAGCCUCAGCCCCGACACCUUUAAACGCUGAUUCGGGGCUCCUUCUGGCCCCACCGUCCCCCCAAGGCCAGCCACCUACACCGCUCGGCAGCUUCCCGUCCCCAUUGUCAGGACCCGACGGAGUUUCCCGUCUCCGACAAUGACGCCAUUUCUGUCAGAGAAGAAACUCACAACAAGCCCGGAGUCCGGCGCCGAGUCGCCUGCCCUCCCAGCGGCACCUCCUCGCCCCGCCGCCCUGCUCCUCUGCCCUGAGGGCCCCGCAGCCCCGCGUCGGAGCCGAAGAGCGGCCGGCCCGGAGGAGGAGACCGAGAGGGGCGCGGAAGAAGUCCGGCCGACCCGAGGGGCCGCGCGCGGCAGGGCUCCCCCUCCCCCCAGGAGCCUCUGCCCGCGGCCCGUUCCUGGGCCGGGGACCCUGCGAAGCGGGAGCAAGACCACCACCUGCCCACACCGCGGGGGACAGCGUGAGGACCGGAGACCUCGGACGGAGCCCCCCCCCCGGCCGGGCCCCCCACCGCGGCCGAGGGCCGCUAAACCGCUGAGUCUGCGGCCGCUCGGCCACGGGCGAUUCGGACUCCGCAAUUGCGGUGGGGGGGGGGGCGGAGGCUCCCGGGAAAAAGAGGCCCCGAAUUCGGGAGCCCGCUGAGAGACCACCACGGCGAUCUCCCUCCUGCUCCUCGACCGGGCCCCGUGACUCCCAAAAGGCUCCCUUACGAGACCCCAAAAGCCCCCAAAUGUCCCUACCUUUCUCAGAGGCGAGAUCUGACCCUGGCACGUCCAGAGUCCCCUCCCUUCCUCCUCCCCCCCAAAACCAGCAGGCCCGGGAGAGAGAUGGGGGAAGAAGGGCGGCAGGUCCAGCGGUUGCUGAGGCUGAGGCUCCGGCUCCUCCUCCUCCCGCGGCGGCGACUGGUACCUUUGUUUGGCGGCCGCUCGGGCUCCCUCGCUGGGGGGGAGGGGGAAGACGAAAAAUCCCUCUCGGACUGGAGGUCCGGGUCCCCAAUCGCACUGCCCUCCAGAGGACGGCAGCAGUGGACCCUCUGUAGCUCUCACCGGGCAAAGGACCAGGCAGUGGCCGUGGUAGCCGCAAGCUUAAGCUCGCAGUCACCCUCCGCUCCGGCGCCCGAGCUGCUCACUCCGGACUCGACUGACGGGCAAACAUCGCUUCCCCCACCAACCUCAGGUCCCCCCCCGCUUCUCCUCUCCUUUCACCCCGCCCCUUGGUUUUUCUCCCCUCCCCUACCUCUUUCCCGGAUGGCCUCUUAGACGACCUCGGAUUGGCUAGAGUUACUUAGAGCCCGCCUAUACCUUCUUCUUAUUGGUCUCUGCGAUACAAACACCGACGCCAUUUUCCCACCAGUUCUAUGGAAACAGAAAGUUAUGCCUCAAAGUUUCCGGGGAAAUGUAGUCCAGCCUCUGAGGUCAAUGCGCAAGCCCCUAGUCCAGAGAACUGCAACACCCGCAAUGCCCCGCGCCUGCGAGAGACGGGAGGGGGAGAAAGGGGCGGGUGCGACAAAGCAGUGGGGAGGCGGCAACGACGCCUGCGCAGUGUGACCGGGAUGGCGCAUUUUCUUGCACCGAGUAAUGCGGGGUUGCUGGCUGCUGAGGAGGGCGGAGAAUUCUGUGAAGUAGGGGAGGGCCUCAAGUAGGCGUCGGGAGGAGCCGUGGUCUGAACUAUAAAGUGGGAAGUUAAUGCUGGGUACAGCUACUACCGGACCGGCGGAGUGAAAGUCGUGAUAUCAUCGUUUAACCAUCAGCUUUGAAAUUUAAAAACAAUGGAGAAGGAUCAAGAAAUAACCCAAAGAAUUCUUCUAGAACCCUACAAGUACUUACUUCAGUUACCAGGAAAGAAGCAGAGCUGUUCAGUCUCUAAAAGCUUAAUUUAAAGGAAUAAUUUAAGAGGUCAUUUUACAAGGUAAACAAGUGAGAACCAAACUUUCACAAGCUUUUAAUCAUUGGCUGAAAGUUCCAGAAGACAAGCUACAGUUCUUGAGAUGUAACUGCAGAAUUCUUCAGCCUUCUGCCUGACCUGCAGAUUUUGGGUUUGCCAGCAACCGCAACCACGAGAGCCAGCUAGAGAGGCCUCUAGCCUGCUGCCUGAUUCACAGAUUUGGGACUUGCCAGCUCCCACAACUGCACAAGCCAUUUCUUUUCAAUAAAUCUCUCUGUAUUUAUACAUAUGCUUCACUGGUUUUGCUCCUCUAGAGAAACCAGUCUAAGACAUUGGCCUAGCAGGACCACAGAAAAAAGGAGAAGUGACUUAAGGGGAGGAGAAAAGGAGAGAGAGGGGAUUCCUUGUAAGGGUACAAAAGCCAGCAGGUCCCAUGAUUUCUGGUAGUAUUCUGAGGAGAUGAGCAAGAUUUUAGAGGGAAUGUUGUAGCCUAAUAGGGCAAUACCAUUCCCACUCAGCAGAAAGUCUUCAGCCCUGCUCGUGCCCUGGAAGCAGAGAGAUGUUAGACUUUAAAGGAUCACUGUCAGCUUUAGUAAUAAAGAUGUCAGUGGUGUCUAUGAUGUCUGGAGAUGAGAUGCCUUCAGGCACCUCUUAAAUCUCCCAGAAGCUGGUGUAACUAUGAAAGGUAAUGAAGCCCCAACACUGAGGAAGAUUAAAUUUUCUGCUAGCCCAGAAAGAUGGAGGUGGAGAGGUUCCUGGACUAAGCACAUGUAUUCAUCUUUCCUCCCUAUUGAGAGAAUACUAAAAGAAAAAAGAAUAAAAAGGUUAAAAUAGCAUUGAGAAUGGGAAGGGCUCUAUUAGUUGAUGAGAAAUUUCAAAAAAUCUCUGGAGUGCAGAAAGCAGAAAGAUGAUUGAUGAAAGCAGUGUAGAUAAAGCUGUAACUAAUGAUAUAGAGAGAAGGGGCUUCAGCUGAAAAGGAAUCCAGUGGCUCAGUAGAACCCUGUGUUGGUAGGCAGAAUAAUGGCCCCCCAGUGAUGUCCACAUUCUAAUACCCAGAGGCUGUGAAUAUGUUAGGUUAUACGGCAAAGAAGAAAAGUUGCAGAUGGAAUUAAGGUCCCUAAUCAGAUGAAAUCGGAGCCCUGGUGGCAUAGUGGUUAAGAGCUCGGUUGCAAACCAAAAGGUCAGCAAUUCAAUUCCACUCCUUGGAAACACUAUGGGGCACUCACUUCUACACUGUCCUGUAGGAUUGCUAUGAACUGGAAUAGACUUGAUGGCAACAGGUUACAGUUUUUUAAUCAGAUGACCUUAAAAUAGGGAGAUUAUCCUAGAUUUUCCAGUGGGUCUAAUGUAAUGACACAAACACAAACACACGCAAAACCCAUCCCAUAGAGUCAAGUCUGACUCAUAGCCACCCUAUAAAAAAAAAAAAAAAAAAAUAGACAGAGUAAAACUGCC
Loxodonta africana (African savanna elephant) is the source of this 5063-nucleotide RNA transcript. It is a transcript of the gene named geranylgeranyl diphosphate synthase 1, with no coding region annotated. The transcript is spliced from 5 exons. The record is from RefSeq and is a predicted model, not a curated record. NCBI's taxonomy places the organism in Eukaryota, Metazoa, Chordata, Mammalia, Proboscidea, Elephantidae.